This 5569-nucleotide long non-coding RNA is filed under the name Sus scrofa (pig). Its description in RNAcentral is "lncRNA (ENSSSCG00000062676.1)". Lineage: Eukaryota; Metazoa; Chordata; Mammalia; Artiodactyla; Suidae. The record is from RNAcentral.
UGCUUCAGAAUCAACCCUGGUUCUCUGCCCACCAUCUACUUCCAACCUCCUCUCCGGUGGCUUUGAGUCCCUUCUGUUAUUGUUUGCCUGCUCUCUUUGGGAUGAUGACUCGAUUACAUUUACCUUUAGGUGUAAUGAUUAUCUCUUGACUCUGCACUUGUGCUGAGGGCAGUACCCUGACCCCAUCACCACCUGGCCAGAUCUGCCGAGAAUCACUCCCUGAUUCCCCAAAAGAUAGAGCAGCCAAAAAGGGUCCCUCACUGCCAAGCCCCAGAGCCAAGGAUGCUUUUCUUCCUCAUGAGAUCACCCUCUCUCAGGACCUUGGAACCUGUUCUCAAAUUACUUCCCCUCUCUUCCCAGUCUUGCUGUGGAUGUCAGAUACCCUAUAAACAAGACACUAUUACUCAUUUUACUUGUCAUCAGUUCUUACUUUCUUUCUAUAAUCACUUAAUUAGAUGUAAUGCAAAGAGCAUUGUUCUUUGGAGUCAAUAAUACCUGAGUGAAGAUUCUAGAUUUUUUUUAAUGUGUUUUAUGACAUAUAUUCUUGAAAGAAUUUUUUGUCUUGCCUGAGUAGUGAUUUCCUCAUCUGUUAAAUGGAAAAAAUGGUAUUUUUAGACUAGCAGGCAGAUCGUUUUCCCUGAAUGACCAUAUCCUUUACUGAAAAAAAGAAUUGAGUUUAUGGGUUGUUUGGUACCACAAAGGUCCAGUCUUAAUCCCCAACUGUUUAUGUAUCUCUUCAAACUAAAGUAACAAUCCUAGAAUCUCAGAGCUAGAAAGAGCUUAAACAAUAUUGCAACUCAGAACUAAUUCAGUAUAUGAAUUCUAGCUGCAACAUCUCUAUCAGCUUUCCAUCAGCCACCAUGCAAACAUUCCCAUCAUCAGGAAACUCACUGCUUAACAAUUUGAAAAGAUAUAUUUUUUUUAUAUUGAGUCACAAUCUGCCCCCCUGAUUGUAGAAAUUUUAUUUUUAUUUAUAUUGUUUUUAUUAGUUUAUUUUAAAAACUUGUUUGUGCAUAUUUUUUUCACUUCUUUUUACUUAUUAUGUGUACACUAUGCAAACCUGGCUGGGAGGUGCAGUUGCCCCCCAGAAAUUACUCUUGAUUGCCUGUUCAGUUUGCUAUUUUUAUUUUUUCUCUUUAAUAAAUAUGCGAACCAUUCUCAGGGGAGUGGGAAAAAAAUCACCAAAAACUGUUUUAAACAUUCAAUGUGCAGAGCCAUCUGCUAUACCCAGAAGAGACUGGAUUGAUGGACAGGACAUAGGAAAUUACUCUUUCAUAAAUGAAUCCCAAAAGAUUAGACCUCCAAUGAGCAAACCACUUUUUCUGCUGAUUCCGGAAGGGACCUGGCAAGUUUGUUUUGCCACAACUAUGAGAGCUGAGGGAUUUGUUAGGUAGUCAUCGAGCUUGUCAAUCAAAAUCUAAUACAAAUGGAUGACCUUAUAGAGACGCAAAAGGAAAGAGAAUAACAUUAAUAGAGUCUUAUGACUCUAGAAUACUACAUUAAGUAGCACCUAUUGGGGUUAAAAAACACAUAAGCUUUCAGAACAAAUCUUGGUCUCUGUUCUUGAAUAAUCUCUGGCAGAGAGCUAGUCUCACAUAUGCAGGCAGAUUCAUUGAUGAAUAAUUCUGACUAUAGUAAAGUUUAUCUUAUGUUGAAAUGUCAUGUGGAUCUCUCUACUUCUUAGAUCUUUCUUUAUAUUGUCAUUUACACAAUAUACUGUGCAUUACAUACAAUAUAUAUGCAUAGUAAUACACAUACAUUAUAUGUAUUCAAACACAUGAUGCAUAAUUUAUUCAUGCAUGAAUUAUGUGUUUUUCUUUGAACAAAGUAUUUGUCAAGUUCCUAUUCUGUCCAAAUCCACCUUAUAAGCUAUAAGGAUGCAAUAAUAAACAAUAUAGUACUAGUUUAUGUUGAGAUAGGACUUAGAAGCUAUAGGAUGAAAUCAACAGUGAUUGGAAAAUCGCAUAAUAGGCAUGAAGUUUCAAACUGUAGUUAAGUGCUAUUAAGUACCACCACAGGGGUUUUAUGCGAUCAUGUAACAGAGCAAACUGAUCAGUUCUGGUGUGGGUAGUAGUCAGAGUUGGUGGUGGUGGACAAGACACUUCUUGAAGAAAUGAUAUUUAAAUUGAGAUGUGAAGAGUGAGUUGUUGUUAAUGAAGUAAGAGUUGAAAGUGGGAAUAAUGAAGAGCUCUUCUGGACCGGGAAUGUUCUGUGGGAAGAGUUUGAACUGGUCAAGGUGAGAGAGGUUAGGACUAGGAUAAUCACCCUGCCCCAUGACAGUGCACUGCUGUCUCCCUUCAGUCUUCUUGGUUUAUACAUCUUUGGCAUAUGUCACCUAUUUCUCACAUUACAUGAACUCUCAUCCCUCUUUCUGUUCCCCUUGGGCCAUGCUCCAGCUUGCCUUUAUCUUCUUUCCAUGUGUUCAUAACAACAUAGCAGCACAGAAGGCAUGUAGCUAUAUCAGGAGAAAAACCUCAGUCCCAACCAAACUUAGGAUAGAGGAAGUUACAGCUGUAACCCCAGAAACCCUGUUGGGCUGGUGAGACAGGUGCUAUUACCCAAGCUUCUCUACUCCCCACCCCCAUAUCAAUAAUAUUUUAAAAGGUGAAAAAGGAAUGAAGUUGAUGAACUUGGAAUCAGUCUUCAAAAUGACUUUGGCUGACAUAAACAGCAUUUUGAUGUAGAACAAAAAAGCUCUUUUAUCUAUUUACACAAGCUCCACAUUAUAACAAUAUCUUUUUUUGGUAUUUCAUCUCUUUUUUUCUCAACCUGAAGUUCCUUAGGGCCUAUUUCUCUUCAUGAAUUGUUUUCUCCCCAGACUAGAAAAUGUCGCCAUUGGCUUCGGGUUCUCCCAUUUGGACGAAGUGCUGAGUGGCUCCCAAAGAGCCCCAGAGGCUUCAGCCUAAGGGAUAAAAGGCGAUAUAUGAAGGGGAGAGAGCUGAUCCUGUAAAUAAAUUUGACUGGCAUUAAGUAUUUAACGUGGUGGUUGGCUCCAUGAGGACAGUGCAUUAAAUGCAUAAUGGCAUGGUAUCCGUUCAAGCUUUACGCUAAGUCUGACAAGCCGCAGUCAGGCUGCAUGGCAUUAAAUUGUAAGUGACAAGUUCUGAUAGACCUGUCAGCUUGAGAUGGUAUACUCUGAAGCAAACAGAAAAGGCUGCAGAUUCUUUUAUUAAUAAAGUAAUGUGAAGUAACAAAGUAAUACUUAUAGAAGAGGGGGUACGCACUAUGAUACAGUCAAAGGCAUAGGUUUUUGAAAUCAAACAGACCUGGAUUUGAAUUAGUGGCCCUGUGGUUUAUUACUGUGUAUUCCUAGAGCAAUUUCCUUCACCUUUGAGAGCCUUAGGUGACUAAAGAAAAAAUGGCAAUCAUGUAUAUUUCAGGCUUGCCUUAAGGUUCCCUAGGGGAAAGAACUGAGAUAGAGAUUUAUAUUCAGGUCAUGUAAUGAGGAGUAUAUUUGGAAAAAGUAGCUACAGUGGAAUAGGAGAAGUAGAAUUGGGCUAAGAGAGAGGUUAGAUACUCUUCUCUUCCUUUAACCAUUUGCAGUGAUAGUCAUUAAUAUGGAUUUAUAAUUCAGUAUUUUCCAUCUGAAAGGCAAUUAUUAAACACUGCUAUAGAAGCCUAAUAGAACUGUCCUGAAAACAGAAUCUCACAUGGGACUUUGAGUGCAAGUGGCUUAUUGGGGAGUGGUCUUAAGCAUACCACCUGUAUAGGAGUAAGGGAAGCAGGAUUUGUCAGAGCACGUGGUUGGUCUGCAGUGAAGUUGCACAGAGGCCUCAGCUGAUCCCAUGGAAUGCUCUCACACAGAGAUGGCACUUCAGUGGCGUCUCACACUGGAGCAAAGGAUCUGAAUCUUUGUCCAACAACAUCAACAGGUCACUGGAUGUGGACUACCUCUGAAGGUGUAACACUGGGUAAGGCGGCUCCUUAGGGCUAAGUUUAAUUCUUAGGGAGAGACUCAGCUAUGAGUUAUAGGCAGACAAUGUGCUUGGCAUGUUGAAUGCCUUGGUUCUGAAAAGUUUACUUCUUGCACCAUUUGCAUCCUCUUGCUUCCUAUAAUAAGCUCAUACCACCUAGAAACAGCUUUUCCUAGAUUGAAUUUGGUCUCCUCCUGGGGUACCCAAAGUCCUUACUAGAGCAAAGUUGAUAUUGGUAGAUAUUCUUCAGCCUACAGCUGAUAUUCAUCAUUUUACCCAUUACUAUCAUUCUAGAAUUCCCUACUCCUGUUCCCUACUCUGCUGGUGAUAUUGCCCAGACCUUCGUCUCUGAGGGAUUUUGAGCUCCAAAUUUUCAUGUCUUACUCAGAUCAUGGCUUCUCACUUGCUGAUAUGUUCUCAAAGUUGGGCAGAAGAGUACCAGGAUAAAUUCCACUUGAUCACUUGGAUGUCCAGUGUAUUAUUUUCUACCACAUUGUUUAACAGCAGACUUACUUCCUUCUGAGUACCAGUGUUCAUUACUCUUCCUGGCAUGUUAGUUUCCUGUUCUUGACUCCUGGCCUCUUGGCACGCAGAGUUCAAAGUGACUGUGGUAGCUAUAGACAAAGUUUAAUGAGGUGCCUUUUCCUCUUGGAACCAAAGCCUAUAGUUCCACAGAAACUAGAAAUGCAGGAAUCAGUAUACAUUUACCUAUAGAUGAUUGGUAAUGGCCACUUCUGAUCCCCUCUUCUGGUUCCUAAAGCUAUAUAUUCUACCUAUUAGGGAUAUAGCACUGUGAAAUAAAUAUUGGUUUAAGGAAUAUUCUAUAUCCUAAAGGAUAGAGUCCCAUUAUUUCAAAGCUGUUGCCUCAUCUAUGCCUUCAAAAAUCUGUUAUCUUGCUUGGUUCAGGGUUUAUGGCAUAUAAUAGGAUCAGUGGAUCCACUGGAACUGAAUGGAGCCCUCUACCAUGCCUCUUCUGAUGUAAAGUGAAUCCCUUCGUGUGAUGUGAUGUUAUAUAAAAUCCUGUUUGUGUUAGAUCACUUGCAUAUUACAUGUGAGCCCUUAGAUCAAAGUACUGGCUGAGACACUCCAGGUAAGAAAGCAAAUAUAUAACCCUAAUAUGUUUUGAUUCUAGUUAUAGUGAAUUUCUGCUUGGUCUAGUUUAGAAGGAGCCCAGUAGAAUAAAUUUGUGACUAAGUGGCUGGUCUCUUUGAGGAAUGUAGCCAUACUGGGGUUUCAGCAUUAGUUGGUUGAUGGCAGUUUGGAUAUUUGAUAAAGUUGGUUGUAAGAAUAAUCUUGGCAAGCGAGAGUCAUAUUCUUGAAUCUGUGCCUUGCUUUUAUCCCUGAUACUAUUCUUACUUUAAUCCUGAUUCCAUCAGUCCACAGAGACUGGCUGAUGAAAAUUGGCCACAGUUAUUCUGUCUCCUUGAAUAAGACAUAAAGAAGGGUCAGUGAAUUUGAUGAUAGGUCAUUAGAAAGUAUUCUCCUGAAGAAUGAAGAAAAAAAAAAGAUUAAAAAAACUGCACUCAAUGCCAAGUAAUCUAUCGUACAAAUAAAGUUGUGGAGUAAGAGACAGAGUGGGACAGAAAAGUAUUUGAAAAAUUAAUAAUUUAAAAAUGAAGAAAUCUUAUGAAUCAACUAUACUUUAAUAAAAAAAU